Molecule: ribosomal RNA, 520 nt
Filed under: uncultured Glomus
Lineage: Eukaryota; Fungi; Glomeromycota; Glomeromycetes; Glomerales; Glomeraceae
Description: SSU rRNA
Rfam family: Eukaryotic small subunit ribosomal RNA
Source: RNAcentral
AGCAGCCGCGGUAAUUCCAGCUCCAAUAGCGUAUAUUAAAGUUGUUGCAGUUAAAAAGCUCGUAGUUGAAUUUCGGGAUCAAAUUGUCGGUCGUGCCUCGGUACGCACUGGUAUUAUUGGUUCCUACCUUCUGAAGAACCGCGAUGUCAUUAAUUUGGUGUCGUGGGGAAUCAGGACUGUUACUUUGAAAAAAUUAGAGUGUUUAAAGCAGGCUUACGCUUGAAUACAUUAGCAUGGAAUAAUGAAAUAGGACGUUUGAUUCUAUUUUGUUGGUUUCUAGGAUUGACGUAAUGAUUAAUAGGGAUAGUUGGGGGGCAUUAGUAUUCAAUUGUCAGAGGUGAAAUUCUUGGAUUUAUUGAAGACUAACUACUGCGAAAGCAUUUGCCAAGGAUGUUUUCAUUAAUCAAGAACGAAAGUUAGGGGAUCGAAGACGAUCAGAUACCGUCGUAGUCUUAACCAUAAACUAUGCCGACUAGGGAUCGGAUGAUGUUAAUUUUUUAAUGACUCAUUCGGCGCCUUA